Molecule: long non-coding RNA, 1021 nt
Filed under: Fragaria vesca (wild strawberry)
Lineage: Eukaryota; Viridiplantae; Streptophyta; Magnoliopsida; Rosales; Rosaceae
Description: long non-coding RNA (FVES_LNC004380)
Source: RNAcentral
AACGAAAUACUUAGGUCUUAGGUGUGUUGUACCUGAUCGAUUAAUCCAGCGAGAUGUUCUAUCCCAGGAUACAUUUCCAGACAUUUCCUGAGGGCUUUUCUCGGAUCAGUCUUGAAUGCUUUCCUUUUCAACCGGAAAAUAGCUGAUCAAUGAACAUCGUCUUCGCCGGCACCUAUCACGGUUUUAGAGUAUGAAGGGCUUUAUGCCGUGCCUUUCCUUUAACCGAAAAACCGGAAAAGAAAGAGGGUUCGCUCUUGGCCUAUUAGUUGGCUUAGCCGAUAUGAGCUUAUAUAGUCUCGGUCCUAUGAAUCUGACCGUACUUCCCGAGCCCGAGGGUCGAGCUGCGUUAAGCUCUUCUUAUCAGAUUCUGUUAACGCCGUCAACGCGAACUGCUGAUGCGGCUGCUGACGGUUCUCUCAUUUUUCCUUUCUUCUAGCGGGAUGGCACUGUCUCGCGAAGCUGGAAAUGAGUGGCUAGGUCUUGUGUUCCCGGGCUAGGAUUUCGAUAACUAUUCUGCACCUCCUCCCGUAAGUUCUACCUCCGGAAAGACUUAAUCCAUUCACUUUUGGCCUUAAGGGAAUAGAGGAAAUGAAAUUACUAACGAGACCAAGUUUUUCGGGGAAGUGACUUUUCGCUUGGACCCGGCCUUUAAAGAAUGUCGCCGGAUUGGAAUGAAUUCCACUCUACGAAGCAAGUAAGUAUGAAACUAAUCUAAUACAUUCUCGGUUGGAACCAGUUGUUUUGGUUCUUGAAUUGGUCUCAUCGUUAGCAAGCGGGCACCUACGAAGCUGAUAAGCCGUUGAAAGCUUUGGCCGACCCGAGGUCACGCAUCUUUCUGCCGAAAACAAUUCGUUUUAACUGGGCCAAGUUAACCAGCCCCAGAGCCUAUCCAUCCCCCCUAGCAUCAAAGGAGGACAUCCUACCGGGCCCAUCACCAAGGAAGCUGAAAUCCAAGGCAUUGGUUUGAGACUACCAAUCUAGUGAUCCUGAUCUUGCUCUUUCUUUCCAGCUCUCAGUUUCU